Molecule: ribosomal RNA, 497 nt
Filed under: uncultured bacterium
Lineage: Bacteria
Description: partial 16S ribosomal RNA
Rfam family: Bacterial small subunit ribosomal RNA
Source: RNAcentral
GAUGAACGCUGGCGGCGUGCCUAAUACAUGCAAGUCGAGCGAACAGACGAGGAGCUUGCUCCUCUGACGUUAGCGGCGGACGGGUGAGUAACACGUGGAUAACCUACCUAUAAGACUGGGAUAACUUCGGGAAACCGGAGCUAAUACCGGAUAAUAUAUUGAACCGCAUGGUUCAAUAGUGAAAGACGGUUUUGCUGUCACUUAUAGAUGGAUCCGUGCCGCAUUAGCUAGUUGGUAAGGUAACGGCUUACCAAGGCAACGAGGCGUAGCCGACCUGAGAGGGUGAUCGGCCACACUGGAACGGAAACACGGUCCAGACUCCUACGGGAGGCAGCAGUAGGGAAUCUUCCGCAAUGGGCGAAAGCCUGACGGAGCAACGCCGCGUGAGUGAUGAAGGUCUUCGGAUCGUAAAACUCUGUUAUGAGGGAAGAACAAAUGUGUAAGUAACUAUGCACGUCUUGACGGUACCUAAUCAGAAAGCCACGGCUAGCUACGUG